Molecule: ribosomal RNA, 406 nt
Filed under: uncultured bacterium
Lineage: Bacteria
Description: partial 16S ribosomal RNA
Rfam family: Bacterial small subunit ribosomal RNA
Source: RNAcentral
AUUGAACGCUGGCGGCAGGCCUAACACAUGCAAGUCGAACGAGCGGCGGACGGGUGAGUAAUGUCUGUGAAACUGCCCGAUGGAGGGGGAUAACUACUGGAAAUGGUAGCUAAUACCGCAUACCAUCGGAUGUGCCCAGAUGGGAUUAGCUAGUAGGUGGGGUAAAGGCUCACCUAGCCGACGAUCCCUAGCUGUUCUGAGAGGAAGACGAGCCACGCUGGAAGUGAGACGCGGACCAUACUCCUACGAGAGGCAGCUGUGGGGAAUAUGGCACAAUGGGCGCAAGCCUGAUGCAGCCAUGCCGCGUGUAUGAAGAAGGCAUUCGGGUUGUAAAGUACUUUCAGCGGGGAGGCGUUACCCGCAGAAGAAGCACCGGCUAACUCCGUGCCAGCAGCCGCGGUAAUUC